This 67-nucleotide ribosomal RNA is filed under the name Neurospora crassa. The record is from RNAcentral. Lineage: Eukaryota; Fungi; Ascomycota; Sordariomycetes; Sordariales; Sordariaceae.
CCCUUACUGGCUUAUCAAUAGGAGAGCGGACGGGAUCCCGAGUUUUCCAGUGGGUAUGGUCGUAUGU